RNAcentral lists this ribosomal RNA (254 nucleotides) under uncultured bacterium. RNAcentral describes it as "partial 16S ribosomal RNA". It matches the Rfam family "Bacterial small subunit ribosomal RNA", at positions 524 to 776 of the family's 1533-position model. The record is from RNAcentral.
UACGUAGGGUGCGAGCGUUGUCCGGAAUUACUGGGCGUAAAGCGCACGUAGGCGGCUAUUCAAGUCGGGGGGUGAAAGCCCGGGGCUCAACCCCGGAACUGCCCUCGAAACUAGAUAGCUAGAAUCUUGGAGAGGUCAGUGGAAUUCCGAGUGUAGAGGUGAAAUUCGUAGAUAUUCGGAAGAACACCAGUGGCGAAGGCGGCUGACUGGACAUGUAUUGACGCUGAGGUGCGAAAGCGUGGGGAGCAAACAGG